AGGUGUGAUCAUACCAGCGUUAAUGCAUCGAAUCCCAUCAGAACUCAGUAGUUAAGCAUGCUUGGGCUAGAGUAGAACU
Non-coding RNA from Picea glauca (white spruce), 79 nucleotides. The record is from Rfam. Lineage: Eukaryota; Viridiplantae; Streptophyta; Pinopsida; Pinales; Pinaceae.